Punica granatum (pomegranate) is the source of this 1280-nucleotide non-coding RNA. Lineage: Eukaryota; Viridiplantae; Streptophyta; Magnoliopsida; Myrtales; Lythraceae. The record is from RefSeq and is a predicted model, not a curated record.
CUCGCCGCCAGAGCCCCACCAUCGUACAAAAUCCUUUCCCGCGACCCCAAAGCUCUCUCUUUCUCUCUCUCUCUCUCUCUCUCCCCUUCCCUCUUUUGUCUCCUCUUUACCCAACAAAAUCUACAGUGCAAGUCACGGCUUUAGGGUCAAGGAGCGAAGCCUUGCAUGCGGCAAAAGGCAAUUUAUUCGUACUGCUGCUCCGACAAGUUUGACAUAGGGUUUCUUCACAAUUUGAGAGUUCAAGACCCCUGAAAUUCUUCUACUGAUGGUCUGCCCUGUGUCUUCUUCCUAAGAGCCCCUAAUUGUCCCCUUGUUUGCCUGCAGAGUUCGAGCCCUCGCUUGAUGCGCAAUAGCGUACGGUCAGCAGUCGUCGAACGUUGAUUCACCCUCAGAUUUGACGGGUUCAACCUCAGCACAACAGUCGUGGUUUAGUUGUCUUCUUCUCAUUAGCUACCACGCAUUCCCACAUGACAGAGCGCGUCACUAGGCAUCGUGCGAGCACACCACUCCCUGCUCGUGCCGAAUCUUCAGCAUACGUCCCUCGAUGCGCUUGCAUGACGCCUACUAGGCCAGUUCGCUUCCCUACACUCUUACCAUUGAAAUCCUGAACAGUUUAUGCUCUUUCAUUGUUUUCUUUUCCCAUUGCAGGAAAUUCUCAACAAGAAGACAGUCGGAAUACUAAGCGACCACAAUUGAGACAACAAACGCCUCUCAUCCAGCUCCUUGGGAUUUCAACACUAAGUCCCCAUCCUUGCUCCACAAAGCAAGACCGCAAGAAAAAUCAGAGUCACCGCUUUGCAGUACCCUGCACUGUUCCUCAGCAUUAACCUUUGCUUUUACAUCUCUUGCACUUUCUUAUCGAGCACGCAUUUACUGCAUCGGGCUUCGGCCCCGCAUUAGGCUCCGGCCCCACAUUUACUGCAUCGGGCUUCGGGCCCGCUUUUGGGUUUUGGCCUCGCAUCGGGCUUCGGCCCCUCGUCGGGCUUUGGCCCCAGUUUUGAGCUUCGGCCCCGUAUCGGGCAUUGGUCCUGCAUUUAUUGCUUUCGGGCCCCGGCCCAGCAUUUAUUGCUUUUGGGCUCCAGCCCAGCAUUUACUACAUUCAGGUUUUGACACUUCGCAUUUACUGCUUUCAGGCUCAUCUGAAAUCCAAAAUCGACUUGGAUUCAAAUUCAUCCAAGCGAUACUCCGAUGAGUAAGUCUAAUCCUUUUGCUGCAAAGACCGGAAGUGACAGCUCCACAAGCAGAGCAUGACCCAACUCUCGAUCGCAGGAGAUACCAGC